This 495-nucleotide ribosomal RNA is filed under the name uncultured bacterium. RNAcentral's name for it is "partial 16S ribosomal RNA". It matches the Rfam family "Bacterial small subunit ribosomal RNA", at positions 28 to 507 of the family's 1533-position model. The record is from RNAcentral.
GACGAACGCUGGCGGCGUGCCUAAUACAUGCAAGUAGAACGCUGAAGGAGGAGCUUGCUCUUCUGGAUGAGUUGCGAACGGGUGAGUAACGCGUAGGUAACCUGCCUGGUAGCGGGGGAUAACUAUUGGAAACGAUAGCUAAUACCGCAUAACAGUAGAUGUUGCAUGACAUUUGCUUAAAAGGUGCAAUUGCACCACUACCAGAUGGACCUGCGUUGUAUUAGCUAGUUGGUGGGGUAACGGCUCACCAAGGCGACGAUACAUAGCCGACCUGAGAGGGUGAGCGGCCACACUGGGACUGAGACACGGCCCAGACUCCUACGGGAGGCAGCAGUAGGGAAUCUUCGGCAAUGGACGGAAGUCUGACCGAGCAACGCCGCGGGAGGGAAGAAGGGUGUCGGAUCGUAAAGCUCUGUUGUAAGAGAAGAACGAGUGUGAGAGUGGAAAGUUCACACUGUGACGGUAACUUACCAGAAAGGGACGGCUAACUACGUG